AACGAACGCUGGCGGCAGGCUUAACACAUGCAAGUCGAACGCCCCGCAAGGGGAGUGGCAGACGGGUGAGUAACGCGUGGGAACGUACCUUUCAGUUCGGAAUAACUCAGGGAAACUUGUGCUAAUACCGGAUACGUCCGUAAGGAGAAAGAUUUAUCGCUGAAAGAUCGGCCCGCGUUGGAUUAGCUAGUUGGUGGGGUAAUGGCCUACCAAGGCGACGAUCCAUAGCUGGUCUGAGAGGAUGAUCAGCCACACUGGGACUGAGACACGGCCCAGACUCCUACGGGAGGCAGCAGUGGGGAAUAUUGGACAAUGGGCGAAAGCCUGAUCCAGCCAUGCCGCGUGAGUGAUGAGGGCCCUAGGGUUGUAAAGCUCUUUCACCGAUGAAGAUAAUGACGGUAGUCGGAGAAGAAGCCCCGGCUAACUUCGUGCCAGCAGCCGCCGUAA
This 447-nucleotide ribosomal RNA is filed under the name uncultured bacterium. RNAcentral describes it as "partial 16S ribosomal RNA". It matches the Rfam family "Bacterial small subunit ribosomal RNA", at positions 29 to 523 of the family's 1533-position model. The record is from RNAcentral.